This 362-nucleotide long non-coding RNA is filed under the name Prunus dulcis (almond). RNAcentral describes it as "sRNA ncRNA". Lineage: Eukaryota; Viridiplantae; Streptophyta; Magnoliopsida; Rosales; Rosaceae. The record is from RNAcentral.
GCCCCUGUGCUCACCAUCACUCUUAGAGUGACAUAUGUCCUGAAAAUUGAUAUACACCAGUCAUGCUUGUGAAAUUAAAUUGCAAGAAAUAAGUUUGUGCUGAGGUUUACUUAGAGCCACUUCUAUUAGUUUCUCUGUUUUAUUAUGCUUCUGAACUUAUUUAUUGUUGUCUACAUUAGAGUGUCUCAUGAAUCAAAUUAUCUGGCAUGGUGUUUAGAACUAGACUGAAAUUGAUGAUCAACUGGAUGACGAGCAUGGGCAGUGGCACAACGGAUAUUCUAGUGAGUAAAAGAGAAGGCUUAUGGUUAACAAGAUCCAGAAGCUGGUCAGUGCUGGAAUUGUCUAGCUUAGUUUAACUUAGG